GUGGCCUUAGCUCAAUGGCAGAGCAUCGGAUUGUGGCUCCGAAGGUUACGGGUUCGAGCCCCGUAGGCCACCCCA
Molecule: transfer RNA, 75 nt
Filed under: Chloroflexota bacterium
Lineage: Bacteria; Bacillati; Chloroflexota
Also listed under: 2 other names
Description: tRNA-His
Rfam family: tRNA
About the family: Transfer RNA (tRNA) molecules are approximately 80 nucleotides in length. Their secondary structure includes four short double-helical elements and three loops (D, anti-codon, and T loops).
Source: RNAcentral